GAAGGUAUCAGUACACGUAGCAAUGCUCAGAUUCAAGCUUUUCGAGAUGCCACAGACGUUUGCAUGUUGCUGGAUAUUGGGUAUAAGGGGCCGUUUUGGACUUUUGAGAAAAAAGUCGCAGGGGGUACGUACACCAGGUGCAGGUUGGAUCGGGCGCUCGCCAAUGCAGACUGGGCUUCUCGCUUUCCUAUGGCUUUUUUGAAGCAUCAUUCGGCGGCUACAUCCGAUCAGAGCGUGAUAUUGCUCAGCCUGGGAAGAAGUAACGAGGGCACGACUAGCCGGUCUUUCCGAUACGAGGCGGUGUGGGAAAAGCAUGAGGGUUUUGGUGGCGUGGUAAUAGAGGAGUGGGCGGCCGGCGACCCAUGCGUUAGUGUUCAGCAACUCCAUGAUAAACUAGUUCAGGUCUCCAAGGGAUUGACCAGAUGCAACAAGCAUACUUUCGGGUGCGUACGCAAGGAAAUCAAGGAGCUUAAAAGUAAACCG
This 483-nucleotide ribosomal RNA is filed under the name Triticum aestivum (bread wheat). RNAcentral describes it as "partial small subunit ribosomal RNA". The record is from RNAcentral. Lineage: Eukaryota; Viridiplantae; Streptophyta; Magnoliopsida; Poales; Poaceae.